AUUUUUGAAUUUUUUGUUUUAGACAUAUGGCAUUUGCUAUCCCACUGUAAGUUAAAACUAGUUGUAAAAUUAAAAAAUUUAUAUUGGAACUUCUAUUUCUUUUAACAUUCAUGUUUAUUUAAUUGAGUUACAACUAAGGUUAUAUAUGAGUUAUUUAUACUAUCUUAGAAUUUGCUGCUUUAGAGGCACGGCAUUUAGUGUCACAUUAAUUUACUGUUUUAGACACGUGGCAUGUGGUAUCCCACUAAUUAGCUAUUUUAAACAUGUGACAAGUGGUAUGACACUGAGUUGACGGCAUGGUGUCCGAUUUAAAGUGCGAACCUGUGUACGAGUAACAACAGUAUUCAAAACCAAAACCUAUUUAAACCAACCAAACCAAAACUAGCGAUCAAAAACUAAUAUCUUGGCAUUGGUUUAUUUUAAACAUCUAUUAUAUAUAUGUGUGUGUUUUAUAUAAAUGUACUAGCUUGAGUAUAGUG
Hydra vulgaris (swiftwater hydra) is the source of this 479-nucleotide non-coding RNA. NCBI's taxonomy places the organism in Eukaryota, Metazoa, Cnidaria, Hydrozoa, Anthoathecata, Hydridae. The record is from RefSeq and is a predicted model, not a curated record.